RNAcentral lists this ribosomal RNA (598 nucleotides) under Salmonella enterica subsp. enterica serovar Enteritidis. RNAcentral describes it as "partial 23S ribosomal RNA". It matches the Rfam family "Bacterial large subunit ribosomal RNA", at positions 1 to 637 of the family's 2925-position model. The record is from RNAcentral. Lineage: Bacteria; Pseudomonadati; Pseudomonadota; Gammaproteobacteria; Enterobacterales; Enterobacteriaceae.
GAGGUUAAGCGACUAAGCGUACACGGUGGAUGCCCUGGCAGUCAGAGGCGAUGAAGGGCGUGCUAAUCUGCGAUAAGCGCCGGUAAGGUGAUAUGAACCGUUAUAACCGGCGAUACCCGAAUGGGGAAACCCAGUGUGAUUCGUCACACUAUCAUUAACUGAAUCCAUAGGUUAAUGAGGCGAACCGGGGGAACUGAAACAUCUAAGUACCCCGAGGAAAAGAAAUCAACCGAGAUUCCCCCAGUAGCGGCGAGCGAACGGGGAGGAGCCCAGAGCCUGAAUCAGCAUGUGUGUUAGUGGAAGCGUCUGGAAAGGCGCGCGAUACAGGGUGACAGCCCCGUACACAAAAGCGCAUGUGCUGUGAGCUCGAUGAGUAGGGCGGGACACGUGGUAUCCUGUCUGAAUAUGGGGGGACCAUCCUCCAAGGCUAAAUACUCCUGACUGACCGAUAGUGAACCAGUACCGUGAGGGAAAGGCGAAAAGAACCCCGGCGAGGGGAGUGAAAAAGAACCUGAAACCGUGUACGUACAAGCAGUGGGAGCACCCUUUGGGUGUGACUGCGUACCUUUUGUAUAAUGGGUCAGCGACUUAUAUUCUG